GACGAACGCUGGCGGCGUGCUUAACACAUGCAAGUCGAACGGAAAGGCCCUGCUUUUGUGGGGUGCUCGAGUGGCGAACGGGUGAGUAAAACGUGAGUAAACUGUCCUUGACUUUGGGAUAAAUUCAGGAAAAUGGGGCGAAUAUCGGAUAGGAGAUCCUGAUGCAUGGGGGGGGUUGGAAAGAUUCGGCGGUUGGGGAUGGAAUCGCGGCUUAUCAGCUUGAUGGUGGGGUAGUGGCUUACAAAGGCUUUGACGGGUAGCCGGCCUUAGAGGGUGACCGGCCACAUUGGGACUGAGAUACGGCCCAGACUCCUACGGGAGGCAGCAGUGGGGAAUAUUGCACAAUGGGCGGAAGCCUGAUGCAGCAACGCCGCGUGCGGGAUGACGGCCUUCGGGUUGUAAACCGCUUUCGCCUGUGACGAAGCGUGAGUGACGGUAAUUGGUAAAGAAGCACCGGCUAACUACGUG
Molecule: ribosomal RNA, 468 nt
Filed under: uncultured bacterium
Lineage: Bacteria
Description: partial 16S ribosomal RNA
Rfam family: Bacterial small subunit ribosomal RNA
Source: RNAcentral